UUUCUCUCUUCUCCCUCAACCCUUAUUUUAUGCAACCACUCAGCCCUAAAAAGAAAGGGAUGAUGUAGUAGGCAUCAAAUUUGAAGGUGUACGUGGGAUGGAGCUGGGAUGAUGAUGAGUACUAGCAAAACUUAAUCCCCAUAACAUACUGGUUACCUUUUUUUUUUCUUGAAAAACUCCAAGCAGCAAGAGUGAUUAUUUGCAUUGUUCAGUUGCAUUUGCUUCCCCUUCAUGAUUAUUGUCUUCACUUCACCUUUUGUUUCCAUCUAUUUUUGGAUUUCUUUUUUAUUUUACUUUUUGUUUUCACUUCAAGUUAGCUAGCAUGUAUAAAUGUGAAAGGCUGAUACUUGUCUCUAGUUAUUUUCAUUCUACUGAAUAGUAAUGCAUGCCAAUAUCUCUUUCUUUGAGAAUUCUUUUUUCAGGCUUUCCCUUCUGUGCUGUCAACUGUACUUUUGAAUGAUGAAUUCAAUAUAUC
This 475-nucleotide long non-coding RNA is filed under the name Gossypium barbadense (sea-island cotton). RNAcentral describes it as "long non-coding RNA (GBAR_LNC009975)". Lineage: Eukaryota; Viridiplantae; Streptophyta; Magnoliopsida; Malvales; Malvaceae. The record is from RNAcentral.